UAGGGAAUCUUCGGCAAUGGGGGCAACCCUGACCGAGCAACGCCGCGUGAGUGAAGAAGGUUUUCGGAUCGUAAAGCUCUGUUGUAAGUCAAGAACGAGUGUGAGAGUGGAAAGUUCACACUGUGACGGUAGCUUACCAGAAAGGGACGGCUAACUACGUGCCAGCAGCCGCGGUAAUACGUAGGUCCCGAGCGUUGUCCGGAUUUAUUGGGCGUAAAGCGAGCGCAGGCGGUUUGAUAAGUCUGAAGUUAAAGGCUGUGGCUCAACCAUAGUUCGCUUUGGAAACUGUCAAACUUGAGUGCAGAAGGGGAGAGUGGAAUUCCAUGUGUAGCGGUGAAAUGCGUAGAUAUAUGGAGGAACACCGGUGGCGAAAGCGGUUCUCUGGUCUGUAACUGACGCUGAGACUCGAAAGCAUGGGGAGCGAACAGGAUUAGAUACCCUGGUAGUCCACGCCGUAACGAUGAGUGCUAGGUGUUGGAUCCUUUCCGCGGAUUCAGUGCCGCAGCUAACGCAUUAAGCACUCCGCCUGGGGAGUACGACCGCAAGGUU
This 549-nucleotide ribosomal RNA is filed under the name uncultured bacterium. RNAcentral describes it as "bacterial SSU rRNA". It matches the Rfam family "Bacterial small subunit ribosomal RNA", at positions 355 to 895 of the family's 1533-position model. The record is from RNAcentral.